GAUGAACGCUGGCGGCGUGCCUAAUACAUGCAAGUCGAGCGAACGGACGAGAAGCUUGCUUCUCUGAUGUUAGCGGCGGACGGGUGAGUAACACGUGGAUAACCUACCUAUAAGACUGGGAUAACUUCGGGAAACCGGAGCCAAUACCGGAUAAUAUUUUGAACCGCAUGGUUCAAAAGUGAAAGACGGUCUUGCUGUCACUUAUAGAUGGAUCCGCGCUGCAUUAGCUAGUUGGUAAGGUAACGGCUUACCAAGGCAACGAUGCAUAGCCGACCUGAGAGGGGGGUCGGCCACCCUGGAACUGAGACACGGUCCAGACUCCUGCGGGAGGCAGCAGUAGGGAAUCUUCCGCAGUGGUCGAAAGCCUGACGGAGCAACGCCGCGUGAGUGAUGAAGGUCUUCGGAUCGUAAAACUCUGUUAUUAGGGAAGAACAUAUGUGUAAGUAACUGUGCACAUCUUGACGGUACCUAAUCAGAAAGCCACGGCUAACUACGUG
RNAcentral lists this ribosomal RNA (497 nucleotides) under uncultured bacterium. RNAcentral describes it as "partial 16S ribosomal RNA". It matches the Rfam family "Bacterial small subunit ribosomal RNA", at positions 28 to 507 of the family's 1533-position model. The record is from RNAcentral.